Molecule: ribosomal RNA, 164 nt
Filed under: Tarlmounia elliptica
Lineage: Eukaryota; Viridiplantae; Streptophyta; Magnoliopsida; Asterales; Asteraceae
Description: 5.8S ribosomal RNA
Rfam family: 5.8S ribosomal RNA
About the family: 5.8S ribosomal RNA (5.8S rRNA) is a component of the large subunit of the eukaryotic ribosome.
Source: RNAcentral
CAAACGACUCUCGGCAACGGAUAUCUUGGCUCACGCAUCGAUGAAGAACGUAGCAAAAUGCGAUACUUGGUGUGAAUUGCAGAAUCCCGUGAACCAUCGAGUUUUUGAACGCAAGUUGCGCCCGAAGCCAUUUGGUCGAGGGCACGUCUGCCUGGGCGUCACGC